This 460-nucleotide ribosomal RNA is filed under the name uncultured Pseudomonadota bacterium. RNAcentral describes it as "bacterial SSU rRNA". It matches the Rfam family "Bacterial small subunit ribosomal RNA", at positions 37 to 541 of the family's 1533-position model. The record is from RNAcentral. Lineage: Bacteria; Pseudomonadati; Pseudomonadota.
UGGCGGCACGCCUAAACAUGCAAGUCGAACGAAGUAGCAAUACUUAGUGGCAGACGGGUGAGUAACAUGUGGGUAUCUACCCUUUGGCCUGGAAUAACACGAGGAAACUUGUGCUAAUACCGGAUAAGUCUUUACGGAGAAAGCUUUAUGCACCAUUGGAUGAGCCUGCACUUGAUUAGUUUGUUGGUGGGGUAAUGGCCUACCAAGACUGUGAUCAAUAGCUGAUUUGAGAGGAUGAUCAGCCACAUUGGGACUGAGACACGGCCCAAACUCCUACGGGAGGCAGCAGUGGGGAAUCUUGCACAAUGGAGGAAACUCUGAUGCAGCGAUGCCGCGUGAGUGAAGAAGGCCUUUGGGUUGUAAAGCUCUUUCGUCGGGGAAGAAAAUGACUGUACCCGAAUAAGAAGGUCCGGCUAACUUCGUGCCAGCAGCCGCGGUAAUACGAAGGGACCUAGCGUAG